Molecule: unclassified non-coding RNA, 236 nt
Rfam family: Eukaryotic small subunit ribosomal RNA (bases 1-46)
AAGUCGUAACAAGGUCUCCGUUGGUGAACCAGCGGAGGGAUCAUUACUGAGUGUAAAAACUCCCAAACCCCUGUGAACAUACCUAUCGUUGCUUCGGCGGGACCGCCCCGGGCGCCACUACGGUGCCCCGGAACCAGGCGCCCGCCGGGGACAUCAAACUCUUGUUUCUUAUAGUGGACUUCUGAGUGGAUUUUACAAAUAAAUCAAAACUUUCAACAACGGAUCUCUUGGCUCUA